This 583-nucleotide ribosomal RNA is filed under the name Debaryomyces hansenii. RNAcentral describes it as "eukaryotic LSU rRNA". It matches the Rfam family "Eukaryotic large subunit ribosomal RNA", at positions 73 to 668 of the family's 3401-position model. The record is from RNAcentral. Lineage: Eukaryota; Fungi; Ascomycota; Pichiomycetes; Serinales; Debaryomycetaceae.
AAUUGCCCCUUUAGUACGCACGAGUGAAGCGGCAAAAGCUCAAAUUUGAAAUCUGGCACCUUCGGUGUCCGAGUUGUAAUUUGAAGAAGGUAACUUUGGAGUUGGCUCUUGUCUAUGUUCCUUGGAACAGGACGUCACAGAGGGUGAGAAUCCCGUGCGAUGAGAUGCCCAAUUCUAUGUAAAGUGCUUUCGAAGAGUCGAGUUGUUUGGGAAUGCAGCUCUAAGUGGGUGGUAAAUUCCAUCUAAAGCUAAAUAUUGGCGAGAGACCGAUAGCGAACAAGUACAGUGAUGGAAAGAUGAAAAGAACUUUGAAAAGAGAGUGAAAAAGUACGUGAAAUUGUUGAAAGGGAAGGGCUUGAGAUCAGACUUGGUAUUUUGCGAUCCUUUCCUUCUUGGUUGGGUUCCUCGCAGCUUACUGGGCCAGCAUCGGUUUGGAUGGUAGGAUAAUGACUAAGGAAUGUGGCUCUACUUCGGUGGAGUGUUAUAGCCUUGGUUGAUACUGCCUGUCUAGACCGAGGACUGCGUCUUUUGACUAGGAUGUUGGCAUAAUGAUCUUAAGCCACCCGUCUUGAAACACGGACCA